GAGUCGAUGCCCGAGUGGUUAAUGGGGAUGGAUUGUAAAUCCAUUGAUUUUAUCUUCGCUGGUUCAAAUCCAGUUCGACUCA
Molecule: transfer RNA, 82 nt
Filed under: Codium simulans
Lineage: Eukaryota; Viridiplantae; Chlorophyta; Ulvophyceae; Bryopsidales; Codiaceae
Also listed under: 1 other name
Description: tRNA-Tyr
Rfam family: tRNA
About the family: Transfer RNA (tRNA) molecules are approximately 80 nucleotides in length.
Source: RNAcentral